UACGUAGGGGGCAAGCGUUGUCCGGAAUUACUGGGCGUAAAGCGUGCGCAGGCGGUGAUGUAAGACAGGGGUGAAAUCCCCGGGCUUAACCUGGGAACUGCAUUUGUGACUGCAUCGCUGGAGUGCGGCAGAGGGGGAUGGAAUUCCGCGUGUAGCAGUGAAAUGCGUAGAUAUGCGGAGGAACACCGAUGGCGAAGGCAAUCCCCUGGGCCUGCACUGACGCUCAUGCACGAAAGCGUGGGGAGCAAACAGG
This 253-nucleotide ribosomal RNA is filed under the name uncultured bacterium. Its description in RNAcentral is "partial 16S ribosomal RNA". It matches the Rfam family "Bacterial small subunit ribosomal RNA", at positions 524 to 776 of the family's 1533-position model. The record is from RNAcentral.